UACGGAGGGGGCGAGCGUUGUUCGGAAUUAUUGGGCGUAAAGAGCUCGUAGGCGGUUUGUCGCGUCUGCUGUGAAAACCCGAGGCUCAACCUCGGGCCUGCAGUGGGUACGGGCAGACUAGAGUGCGGUAGGGGAGAUUGGAAUUCCUGGUGUAGCGGUGAAAUGCGCAGAUAUCAGGAGGAACACCGAUGGCGAAGGCAGGUCUCUGGGCCACUACUGACGCUGAGAAGCGAAAGCAUGGGGAGCAAACAGG
Molecule: ribosomal RNA, 253 nt
Filed under: uncultured bacterium
Lineage: Bacteria
Description: partial 16S ribosomal RNA
Rfam family: Bacterial small subunit ribosomal RNA
Source: RNAcentral